CUCUCCUCCGUGUGCGUCGUGCAGUCUCAGAGUGUUGCUCGUGCUCGGGAUGAACGCUGGCGGCGUGCUUAACACAUGCAAGUCGAACGAUUAAACCGCCUCCGGGCGGAUAUAGAGUGGCGAACGGGUGAGUAACACGUGACCAACCUGCCCCGCACCCCGGGAUAACUGCUGGAAACGGCAGCUAAUACCGGAUACUCCGCCCCCUUUGCAUGAGGGGGGCGGGAAAGCCCCGACGGUGCGGGAUGGGGUCGCGGCCCAUUAGGUAGUAGGCGGGGUAACGGCCCACCUAGCCCGCGAUGGGUAGCCGGACUGAGAGGUCGACCGGCCACAUUGGGACUGAGAUACGGCCCAGACUCCUACGGGAGGCAGCAGUGGGGAAUUUUGCGCAAUGGGCGAAAGCCUGACGCAGCAACGCCGCGUGCGGGACGAAGGCCUUCGGGUUGUAAACCGCUUUCAGCAGGGAAGGGAACGACGGUACCUGCAGAAGAAGCUCCGGCUAACUACGUG
Molecule: ribosomal RNA, 510 nt
Filed under: uncultured Coriobacteriaceae bacterium
Lineage: Bacteria; Bacillati; Actinomycetota; Coriobacteriia; Coriobacteriales; Coriobacteriaceae
Description: bacterial SSU rRNA
Rfam family: Bacterial small subunit ribosomal RNA
Source: RNAcentral